UGAAAACAGCUCAUUAUCAAAAGUGGGGAAAACAUUUCGGACGUUGUUUACCACUGAGAUCACUUUGGUGCUUCUUCCAGCUGCCUGAGGAUAUUGGUGAAGACAGAGAAAGGGAGAGAUGGAAAGAAAGAAAGAAAGCAUCUGUUUAAAAGUUUCCAUCCUCAAGGUGACAUGUUUUCUCUCUGUUGUUUUUAGGACACUUCAUCUGUUCAAAACAAUUCUUCCCAAACCAUGCACAGUUCACAGCACUGGGUCAGCUCCAGAAUUUGAAACUGCUUCUGCACAGCUUUGUUUUCCUUCCGUUCUUUUAAUGACUUUGGGUUCCCAUCUCUUGGCUCUCAUGCUGGUGGCAUUGCUUAUAAGAAAAGAAAAUGGAUGUAAUGAUUACCAUGAGAUAAGGGAAAAUUCCAAGGUGCAGUCUCACUGACAUUAUGGUUCAGCUCCAACUCUUUCAACUUCAGAUUUCUGUACGUGUGUUUUUUGCAUGGCAUCUUAAAUGGUGUUUCUUAAAUCUUCAGAGUAAGUUUGUGAAAGAGAUUAUAUGACAUGGUCGCAGCAGCAGUGGGCUGGACUCAAGUUACCCAAGAAGUCCCUUCUCAUCCCAUGUUUGUAGAAGCAGAGGCAAAACUCAACCAUCUACAGCUGCAGAAGUUGCUGCUGGCAUCUUAAAGAUCCUGAAAGGGGGGAAGAAGACAGAGAGAAGAACAGACUAUCUUUCAGGGAAUGGCUGACCUUUCAGACCUCCUGAGCUUCCAGAAACCUUGCCAUUGUCAAACCAGCUGCAGAACCAGGAACUCCCUUUGACGUCAUCACUGAAAGGUCCUAAUUAGUUAAUUUCCCAAGCCAUGUGGCCCUCAAGUGGUCUAACUUCACCUUUAGCCCUUGACCAACUCACCCAAUUUAGUGGUUCAAGGUUCAGUUCUGUGUCAGGGCAAAUGAGUCCCUGAGAAGACACUUAUUGUUUCACUUCAUUGUAUCCGUAUGAGUUUUGCCAUCUGAUACUAUUUCUGGAUACCUUCUUUGCCAAAUGUUUCCUGGGCACCAGCAGCAAACCCUGUGUUCAUUUUUUUCUGUGCAAGGAGGACUAGAAUAGUAGCAAACGAGCUUUCACUUUUACUAUCCAACUGCUUUUUUGUCCACAGGCUUCCUCUAUAGACCAGAAAUGGACAUUUUACAGCUCCCCUGAUUGACAUGGUGCUUUAUUUUCAAAUGAUAUAUGAUGCAGCACAUACAGCAUUACAUGAGGAGCUUAAUAAAUAAUAAUGCUA
This is a long non-coding RNA of Alligator mississippiensis (American alligator), 1268 nucleotides long. RefSeq lists it as uncharacterized. NCBI's taxonomy places the organism in Eukaryota, Metazoa, Chordata, Crocodylia, Alligatoridae. The transcript is spliced from 2 exons. The record is from RefSeq and is a predicted model, not a curated record.